RNAcentral lists this ribosomal RNA (1320 nucleotides) under Microbacterium azadirachtae. RNAcentral describes it as "bacterial SSU rRNA". It matches the Rfam family "Bacterial small subunit ribosomal RNA", at positions 97 to 1428 of the family's 1533-position model. Lineage: Bacteria; Bacillati; Actinomycetota; Actinomycetes; Micrococcales; Microbacteriaceae. The record is from RNAcentral.
GGCGAACGGGUGAGUAACACGUGAGCAACCUGCCCCUCACUCUGGGAUAAGCGCUGGAAACGGCGUCUAAUACUGGAUACGAGACGCGACCGCAUGGUCAGUGUCUGGAAAGAUUUUUUGGUGGGGGAUGGGCUCGCGGCCUAUCAGCUUGUUGGUGAGGUAAUGGCUCACCAAGGCGUCGACGGGUAGCCGGCCUGAGAGGGUGACCGGCCACACUGGGACUGAGACACGGCCCAGACUCCUACGGGAGGCAGCAGUGGGGAAUAUUGCACAAUGGGCGGAAGCCUGAUGCAGCAACGCCGCGUGAGGGAUGACGGCCUUCGGGUUGUAAACCUCUUUUAGCAGGGAAGAAGCGAAAGUGACGGUACCUGCAGAAAAAGCACCGGCUAACUACGUGCCAGCAGCCGCGGUAAUACGUAGGGUGCAAGCGUUAUCCGGAAUUAUUGGGCGUAAAGAGCUCGUAGGCGGUUUGUCGCGUCUGCUGUGAAAUCCCGAGGCUCAACCUCGGGCCUGCAGUGGGUACGGGCAGACUAGAGUGCGGUAGGGGAGAUUGGAAUUCCUGGUGUAGCGGUGGAAUGCGCAGAUAUCAGGAGGAACACCGAUGGCGAAGGCAGAUCUCUGGGCCGUAACUGACGCUGAGGAGCGAAAGGGUGGGGAGCAAACAGGCUUAGAUACCCUGGUAGUCCACCCCGUAAACGUUGGGAACUAGUUGUGGGGUCCUUUCCACGGAUUCCGUGACGCAGCUAACGCAUUAAGUUCCCCGCCUGGGGAGUACGGCCGCAAGGCUAAAACUCAAAGGAAUUGACGGGGACCCGCACAAGCGGCGGAGCAUGCGGAUUAAUUCGAUGCAACGCGAAGAACCUUACCAAGGCUUGACAUACACGAGAACGGGCCAGAAAUGGUCAACUCUUUGGACACUCGUGAACAGGUGGUGCAUGGUUGUCGUCAGCUCGUGUCGUGAGAUGUUGGGUUAAGUCCCGCAACGAGCGCAACCCUCGUUCUAUGUUGCCAGCACGUAAUGGUGGGAACUCAUGGGAUACUGCCGGGGUCAACUCGGAGGAAGGUGGGGAUGACGUCAAAUCAUCAUGCCCCUUAUGUCUUGGGCUUCACGCAUGCUACAAUGGCCGGUACAAAGGGCUGCAAUACCGUGAGGUGGAGCGAAUCCCAAAAAGCCGGUCCCAGUUCGGAUUGAGGUCUGCAACUCGACCUCAUGAAGUCGGAGUCGCUAGUAAUCGCAGAUCAGCAACGCUGCGGUGAAUACGUUCCCGGGUCUUGUACACACCGCCCGUCAAGUCAUGAAAGUCGGUAACACCUGAAGCC